RNAcentral lists this ribosomal RNA (736 nucleotides) under Leptocylindrus danicus. RNAcentral's name for it is "partial Eukaryotic large subunit ribosomal RNA". It matches the Rfam family "Eukaryotic large subunit ribosomal RNA", at positions 15 to 734 of the family's 3401-position model. Lineage: Eukaryota; Bacillariophyta; Leptocylindrophyceae; Leptocylindrales; Leptocylindraceae. The record is from RNAcentral.
GUAGGGAUACCCGCUGAACUUAAGCAUAUCAAUAAGCGGAGGAAAAGAAACCAACAGGGAUUGCCUCAGUAACGGCGAGUGAAGCGGCAAGAGCUCAAAUUUGAAAUCUGGCUCCUUCGGGGCCCGAGUUGUAAUUUGGAGAGGAUGCUUCGGGCGUGGCCCCCAUCUAAGUGCCCUGGAACGGGCCGUCAUAGAGGGUGAGAAUCCCGUCUGGGAUGGGUGGUCCCGCCCGUGUGAAGCUCCUUCGAAGAGUCGAGUUGUUUGGGAAUGCAGCUCAAAGUGGGUGGUAAAUUCCAUCUAAAGCUAAAUAUUGGCGAGAGACCGAUAGCGAACAAGUACCGUGAGGGAAAGAUGAAAAGCACUUUGGAAAGAGAAUGAAAUAGUACCUGAAAUUGCUGAAAGGGAAACGAGUGAAGUUAGACUUGCGCAGUUGGUAUUCAGCCUUGGCUUCGGUCUUGGUGCAUUUGCCUUCUAUUGCAGGCCAACAUCAGUUUACUUUGCGGUAAAAGGGUUUGGGGAAUGUGGCUUCUUCGGGAGUGUUAUAGCCCUUUACUGGAUGCCGAAUCGUAGACUGAGGAACGCAGCGCGCCUUUAUGGCAAAGCUUUCAAGCUUCGAGCGCUUAGGAUGUUGGUAGAAUAGCUUUACACGACCCGUCUUGAAACACGGACCAAGGAGUCUAACAUCUAUGCGAGUGUUCGGGUGUCAAACCCGUGCGCGAAGUGAAAGCGAACGGAG